GGGCGCAAGCCUGAUGCAGCCAUGCCGCGUGUGUGAAGAAGGCCUUCGGGUUGUAAAGCACUUUCAGCGGGGAGGAAGGCGUUAAGGUUAAUAACCUUGGCGAUUGACGUUACCCGCAGAAGAAGCACCGGCUAACUCCGUGCCAGCAGCCGCGGUAAUACGGAGGGUGCAAGCGUUAAUCGGAAUUACUGGGCGUAAAGCGCACGCAGGCGGUCUGUCAAGUCGGAUGUGAAAUCCCCGGGCUCAACCUGGGAACUGCAUUCGAAACUGGCAGGCUAGAGUCUUGUAGAGGGGGGUAGAAUUCCAGGUGUAGCGGUGAAAUGCGUAGAGAUCUGGAGGAAUACC
RNAcentral lists this ribosomal RNA (345 nucleotides) under uncultured bacterium. Its description in RNAcentral is "bacterial SSU rRNA". It matches the Rfam family "Bacterial small subunit ribosomal RNA", at positions 373 to 710 of the family's 1533-position model. The record is from RNAcentral.